Molecule: long non-coding RNA, 225 nt
Filed under: Musa acuminata (dwarf banana)
Lineage: Eukaryota; Viridiplantae; Streptophyta; Magnoliopsida; Zingiberales; Musaceae
Description: long non-coding RNA (MACU_LNC008549)
Source: RNAcentral
GCGAUGCUCUGCCGGCCCCCUCUGGCUUCACCUAGACGUGGGUGGAUGGAGCUCCCAGACGUGGGAGACUUCUAUCUGGUGGUCAUUCGGAAAUGGAUGAAUCACGUUCUGUCUGAGGUCCCACUACACUUUCUGUAUGUUUGAUAUGAUAUCCAGAGCUUUGGUUAUGUGUUUCUGUACAUGCUUUGGAUAAGAAUGAUAUGAAUGCAACGUCAAAGACGACGU